RNAcentral lists this ribosomal RNA (394 nucleotides) under uncultured bacterium. RNAcentral describes it as "partial 16S ribosomal RNA". It matches the Rfam family "Bacterial small subunit ribosomal RNA", at positions 523 to 918 of the family's 1533-position model. The record is from RNAcentral.
AUACGGAGGAUGCGAGCGUUAUCCGGAUUUAUUGGGUUUAAAGGGUGCGUAGGCGGCCUUGUAAGUCAGCGGUGAAAUUUUGCAGCUUAACUGUAAAAGUGCCGUUGAUACUGUGAGGCUAGGAUUUGGUUGCUGUGGGUGGAAUGUGUGGUGUAGCGGUGAAAUGCUUAGAGAUCACACAGAAUAUCGAUUGCGAAGGCAGCUCACAAAGCCAAGAUUGACGCUGAGGCACGAAAGUGUGGGGAUAAAACAGGAUUAGAUACCCUGGUAGUCCACACUGUAAACGAUGAUAACUAACUGCCGGCCCGUUGCGGGUCGGUGGCCAAGCGAAAGCGAUAAGUCAUCCACCUGGGGAGUACGACCGCAAGGUUGAAACUCAAAUGAAUUGACGGGG